GCAUUCCUUAGUUCCGGCGAAGUGAAGCGGGAAGAAGCUCAAAUUUGAAAUCUUCAAGGUUUGACCUUGACGAAUUGUAGUUUAUAGAAGUGUUUUCUGUUGGAGUUUUGGUAAAAGUUCUUUGGAAUAGGACAUCAUAGAGGGUGAGAAUCCCGUAUUUGACCAUGACUUUCCAGCUGUGUGAUACACUUUCAAAGAGUCGGAUUGUUUGGGAAUGCAGUCCAAAAUGGGUGGUAAAUUUCAUCUAAAGCUAAAUAUUGGCGAGAGACCGAUAGCGAACAAGUACCGUGAGGGAAAGAUGAAAAGAACUUUGAAAAGAGAGUUAAACAGUACGUGAAAUUGUCAAAAGGGAAGCGUUUGACACCAGUGUUGUUUUCUCGAAAAUCAAUUUAAUGAGUUCUUGUUUUUAAGUUAUUGUGACUUUAUCAGCGCAUUUCUUAUUUUACUUGACUCAUUGAAUGCACUUUUCGUUUAACAAGUCAACAUCAAUUUCUUUGGUGGUAAAAAGUUUAAAGGAAGGUGGCUUGGACUUCGGUUCAAGUGUUUAUAGCCUUUUUUCUAUGCCAUCGGAGAGAUUGAGGUCUGCAGCGUAGAUCCUUCGGGGUUAGAUACCUUUGUGCUAAGUUAUAGUUUUUUAUAGACAACUUGUUGACUAUAAUUAACCCUGUAAUUUACUCGCUUAAGCUAUUUUACCUACGCUUAGGAUGUUGACAAAAUGGUUUUAAACGACCCGUCU
This 736-nucleotide ribosomal RNA is filed under the name Neocallimastigaceae sp. Its description in RNAcentral is "partial large subunit ribosomal RNA". It matches the Rfam family "Eukaryotic large subunit ribosomal RNA", at positions 73 to 654 of the family's 3401-position model. The record is from RNAcentral. Lineage: Eukaryota; Fungi; Neocallimastigomycota; Neocallimastigomycetes; Neocallimastigales; Neocallimastigaceae.